GACGAACGCUGGCGGCGUGCUUAACACAUGCAAGUCGAACGGGCUGCCUGGUUUUCGGAUCGGGUGGUGAGUGGCGAACGGGUGAGUAACACGUGAGUAACCUGCCCCUCUCUUUGGGAUAACGUCGGGAAAUCGGCGCUAAUACCGGGUAUUCUGGCUUCCUCGCAUGGGGUUGUUGGGAAAGGUUUUUUCUGGUGGGGGAUGGGCUCGCGGCCUAUCAGCUUGUUGGUGGGGUGAUGGCCUACCAAGGCGGUGACGGGUAGCCGGCCUGAGAGGGUGUCCGGCCACACUGGGACUGAGACACGGCCCAGACUCCUACGGGAGGCAGCAGUGGGGAAUAGUGCACAAUGGGCGGAAGCCUGAUGCAGCGACGCCGCGUGGGGGAUGACGGCCUUCGGGUUGUAAACCGCGUUCAGUGCAGAACAAGGCUCUUUGUGGGUUGAGGGUAUGCGCAGAAGAAGCGCCGGCUAACUACGUG
This 478-nucleotide ribosomal RNA is filed under the name uncultured bacterium. Its description in RNAcentral is "partial 16S ribosomal RNA". It matches the Rfam family "Bacterial small subunit ribosomal RNA", at positions 28 to 507 of the family's 1533-position model. The record is from RNAcentral.